Molecule: long non-coding RNA, 1858 nt
Organism: Taeniopygia guttata (zebra finch)
Lineage: Eukaryota; Metazoa; Chordata; Aves; Passeriformes; Estrildidae
Source: Ensembl
GGCAGAGCAAAUUGUACCUUUUCCAGAGUUAGUUUACCUUGUUAUAUGAUUUUAUCUUUCUUUCAGACUAGCAGAAUGUCAAUUUCCACAUUCCUGCUCAUCGUUUGGUUCCAGACAAUGGCCAUCUACCCGUGCACGGUGGACGCGUGGAUUGUUCCACAGCCCAAGAAAAAUGUGUGGGUCACACUCGCCCAAGCCUUGAAACAAGAUCACAUGUGUUUGUCUACUGCCUCAGCAGAAAAUCCGAUGUCCACAUGUUUAGUAGGGGUUCCAAGUAAGGGGGAUGAGUUUCCAAUCAGUCUGGUCCGCUUGCAAAAGCAGGUGAACGAAAAUAAAAUACCUGAGGUGGGAGCAGAGUUCUAUAAGCACCGAGGAGCUGUAGAACAAGUUAAAAUACCAGUGCAAAACCCCCUCAUUUUGUGGCAAAAGUGGAUCCUACAUUUGCCCUCUGCUGAGGGAGACCCCCAGGAAUUAGAACUCCUGGGCUCUGCAAAAGCUGAAUAUUGCAUUCAAUUGGAUUUUUCCCCAACCAAAGAAGUAAAACUAUAUGAGCAAGUCAAACAGUACAAGGUAGAAUUCAGGGCGGGUCAAUGGUGCACAGCUGUCUAUAAGCUGAAGUUUGCAUCCACCACUGAUUUCCGUCCCCACAAGCUGGACAAGGGAGUGUUUCUUAUCUGUGGGGACAGAGUAUACCCAGGAAUCCCCUCUCGUCUUAUCGGAGGUCCAUGCACUUUCGGGCAUCUGACCCUUGCUUCCCCCAACAUGACCCAAAUUCCAAUCGGGCGAGCAAAAGGUGAGAAAAAAAUUACUAAGCGAAGUGCAAGUCAAUUUGAUGAACAUUGUGAUGCAGAAAUUUACCAUUGGGCAAAAUCCAAAAGAGUUGCCGUCUCUGUGUUUUUACCAUGGGUUGCGGCAGCAAAAGCAUUGAGUGAAUUAGGCAAUCUGGAAUGCUGGGUGACAAAGCAGGCAAAUUUAACAUCAGCAGCCCUGAGUAACCUCCUAGAAGAUGAGGAAAUAACCAGAAAGGCUACCCUCCAAAAUCGGGCAGCUAUUGCUUUCCUGCUGUUGGCACAUGGUCAUGGAUGUAAAGAGUUUGAUGGUUUGUGUUGUUUUGAUCUGUCAUCUAAAGGCCAGAGUGUCCACUUGUCCAUUCAGGAAAUGAGAAGCCUCAUUGGGAGUGUGAAGCAAGAAAAUGAAGAUUGGUUUAAGGAUCUGUUCAAAGACUGGGACCUUUCUGGGUGGGCAGUGUCUCUUUUAAAAGACAUCUUUUACUUUCUAGCUGCACUGUUUUUAGUUUUGUUAGCAUUUGGGAUUCUUAAGCGAAUCAUCUCCAAGGUCAUCACCUCGAAGCCUAAGGCUUCCGCACCUGUUCUCAUCGCUGCUGCCGUCACGGAGAGCGAUUGGUGGGAAGACGACAAGCAGAAGGACACCGCAGUUUGAAAACCGCAGUUUUACCUUCUCCCAAGGCACCGUUCAUCUUAUUAAGUAAAGAAGAGGGAGAUGUUGCUAUCACGCUAGCGUGGUAGUGUGGAGGAAGGGAUUUAGAAAGGCCUUGGGGAGUUGGAAGCUGAGGAAAAGAUACAUUUAGGUAUGAGGGAAAGAUACAUUUAUGUAUGCCCCAUUGUUUCGGGAAAGUUUAGCUUCAGCACCUUUCUGUAAACCCCCUUUCUCCCCACCCCUGAGCAGUUCCCAUUGGACCUGACCCCUGGGGUGAUUCUGAUGAGCCCAUGCUGAACACUGUCUCUAUUGUUUAGACCUUAUCUCUUAAUUUUGCUGUAUAAAACUGUAUCUGGGCAGUAGCCCAGGGUCUUUUGUCCCUGCAACUGUUCAGGCAAUACAAUCUUUCUGGACUGCAUAU